This 254-nucleotide ribosomal RNA is filed under the name uncultured bacterium. Its description in RNAcentral is "partial 16S ribosomal RNA". It matches the Rfam family "Bacterial small subunit ribosomal RNA", at positions 524 to 776 of the family's 1533-position model. The record is from RNAcentral.
GACAGAGGCCCCGAGCGUUAGGCGGAAUCACUGGGCUUAAAGCGUGUGUAGGCGGACGCCUAAGUACCUCGGUGAAAUCCCACGGCUCACCCGUGGAACGGCUGGGUAUACUGGGCGUCUUGGGCCAACUAGGGGCGACCGGAACAAGCGGUGGAGCGGUGAAAUGCGUAGAUAUCGCUUGGAACGCCGACGGUGAAAACAGGUCGCUGGGGUUGUGCCGACGCUGAGACACGAAAGCCAGGGGAGCGAACGGG